Molecule: ribosomal RNA, 373 nt
Filed under: uncultured bacterium
Lineage: Bacteria
Description: bacterial SSU rRNA
Rfam family: Bacterial small subunit ribosomal RNA
Source: RNAcentral
GUAGGGUGCGAGCGUUGUCCGGAAUUAUUGGGCGUAAAGAGCUCGUAGGCGGUGUGUCACGUCGAUCGUGAAAACUUACAGCUUAACUGUGAGCGUGCGGUCGAUACGGGCAUCACUGGAGUUCGGCAGGGGAGACUGGAAUUCCUGGUGUAGCGGUGAAAUGCGCAGAUAUCAGGAGGAGCACCGGUGGCGAAGGCGGGUCUCUGGGCCGAUACUGACGCUGAGGAGCGAAAGCGUGGGGAGCGAACAGGAUUAGAUACCCUGGUAGUCCACGCCGUAAACGUUGGGCGCUAGGUGUGGGGAUCAUUCCACGGUCUCUGUGCCGCAGCUAACGCAUUAAGCGCCCCGCCUGGGGAGUACGGCCGCAAGGCUA